This 895-nucleotide ribosomal RNA is filed under the name Bifidobacterium stellenboschense. RNAcentral's name for it is "bacterial SSU rRNA". It matches the Rfam family "Bacterial small subunit ribosomal RNA", at positions 20 to 906 of the family's 1533-position model. The record is from RNAcentral. Lineage: Bacteria; Bacillati; Actinomycetota; Actinomycetes; Bifidobacteriales; Bifidobacteriaceae.
CUGCUCAGAUUGAACGCUGGCGGCAGGCCUAACACAUGCAAGUCGAGCGGUAGCACAGAGAGCUUGCUCUCGGGUGACGAGCGGCGGACGGGUGAGUAAUGUCUGGGAAACUGCCUGAUGGAGGGGGAUAACUACUGGAAACGGUAGCUAAUACCGCAUAACGUCGCAAGACCAAAGUGGGGGACCUUCGGGCCUCAUGCCAUCAGAUGUGCCCAGAUGGGAUUAGCUAGUAGGUGGGGUAACGGCUCACCUAGGCGACGAUCCCUAGCUGGUCUGAGAGGAUGACCAGCCACACUGGAACUGAGACACGGUCCAGACUCCUACGGGAGGCAGCAGUGGGGAAUAUUGCACAAUGGGCGCAAGCCUGAUGCAGCCAUGCCGCGUGUGUGAAGAAGGCCUUCGGGUUGUAAAGCACUUUCAGCGGGGAGGAAGGCGAUAAGGUUAAUAACCUUGUCGAUUGACGUUACCCGCAGAAGAAGCACCGGCUAACUCCGUGCCAGCAGCCGCGGUAAUACGGAGGGUGCAAGCGUUAAUCGGAAUUACUGGGCGUAAAGCGCACGCAGGCGGUCUGUCAAGUCGGAUGUGAAAUCCCCGGGCUCAACCUGGGAACUGCAUUCGAAACUGGCAGGCUAGAGUCUUGUAGAGGGGGGUAGAAUUCCAGGUGUAGCGGUGAAAUGCGUAGAGAUCUGGAGGAAUACCGGUGGCGAAGGCGGCCCCCUGGACAAAGACUGACGCUCAGGUGCGAAAGCGUGGGGAGCAAACAGGAUUAGAUACCCUGGUAGUCCACGCCGUAAACGAUGUCGAUUUGGAGGUUGUGCCCUUGAGGCGUGGCUUCCGGAGCCUAACGGUUAAAUCGACCGCCUGGGGAGUACGGCCGCAAGGUUAAAACUCAAGA